GACGAACGCUGGCGGCGUGCUUAACACAUGCAAGUCGAACGGUAAGGCCUUUCGGGGUACACGAGUGGCGAACGGGUGAGUAACACGUGGGUGAUCUGCCCGCACUUUGGAUAAGCCUGGGAAACUGGGUCUAAUACCGAAUAGGACCAUGGACUUCACGGUUUGUGGUGGAAAGCUUUUGCGGUGUGGGAUGGGCCCGCGGCCUAUCAGCUUGUUGGUGGGGUAAUGGCCUACCAAGGCGACGACGGGUAGCCGGCCUGAGAGGGUGACCGGGCCACACUGGGACUGAGAUACGGCCCAGACUCCUACGGGAGGCAGCAGUGGGGAAUAUUGCACAAUGGGCGCAAGCCUGAUGCAGCGACGCCGCGUGAGGGAUGAC
This 379-nucleotide ribosomal RNA is filed under the name uncultured bacterium. RNAcentral describes it as "bacterial SSU rRNA". It matches the Rfam family "Bacterial small subunit ribosomal RNA", at positions 28 to 412 of the family's 1533-position model. The record is from RNAcentral.